GCUUACAGCCAUACCACACUCAGCGCGCCCGAUCUCGUCUGAUCUCGUAUGCUAAGCAGGGUCGGGCCUGGUUAGUACUUGGAUGGGAGACAGCCUGGGAAUACCAGGUGCUGUAAGAU
Ribosomal RNA from Cyprinus carpio (common carp), 119 nucleotides. The record is from Ensembl. Lineage: Eukaryota; Metazoa; Chordata; Actinopteri; Cypriniformes; Cyprinidae.